AUCAAAAUCAACUUUGGAUGUUCAGUUUAUUUGUUAGUCAGACGACGAUUCGAUUUUCGUUUCAAGAUUAUAAAAAGUUUCAAGAAUAUCAUUAUGGCGCGGUUGGUAAUUAGUUGGUAUCAAUCGUAGCCGCAAUAAGCCUAGUUCAAUGAUAUAUAUGUUGUAAGGUGCGGCAAAGGUUGGAUGCCUGUAUUAUUAGAGAAAAGUAUGGUAAAUCCCUGGGGCCUAGACAACUUUAUUUUUAUGAAAAAUCUGACAUCACACCGACGAUAAUAAGGAAUCAACGAGCUUUGAUAUAAAUAGAGAGGUGCACGAAAAAUGCAACGAUACAUACUUAGUUUAAUUGAAUAUUGAAUAUAUUUCGAAAUAUAUCUAGUGUCUUGCCCCUACCUUAUUUUUAAGGACGCUUAAUUUAACGACAUAGGAAAUUAUUUUCAACCGAAACAAGACAAACUGCCGAUGAAAUUAAAAAAAAAAAACUACCGAACAGUACUAAGUACUAAUACUAAGUUUGCCGUGUUACUUUAUAAGAUGCGCUGCAAGAUGCUCUAAAGCAUUUUACACACAUCUUACGGAGACUGCGACAGAGUUCUGCAUCACACUAAACCAACUAAGCCGCUUUUGUCUCACCUGCAUGUAUAUCAUUGCAUGCAUGUAUUUGUUUACAAGUUUGACAGGUUAAAACUGGGCACUUAUGACAAUUUUAUGAGAUAUUUUUCAUAGCCAACUAGUAGUUUUUUAGAUUUAGAAUGACCGCAAUAAAACUGGUUUCUAUGUUAUAUGACAGCAAGCUGGAAUGGUUUUCUUUUUAUCUAACAAUGCGUGAACUGGAAUCUUUAAUAGAUAAGCAGCUGGAAAAACUUGAAACAGUUUCAUUUGGAUCUCAUGAUGUAGUUCUGCGUAGACUUCCAGAUCUGCCCAAAUAUGCUAAAACACCUUCGACGUCCAAAGUUGAUAAAUCUAUAUUUGAAGAACAUUCGUAUUCCUUGUUUAGUAGAAAUACAGGUUACACGACUGCAAAAGAGGCGGUGAGCUUCGCAAAUAAUUGCCUACGACCAACACUAUUUCAUUUGAAUCGCACAACACCUGCUAGUAGUAUAAACCAUAGAUUCAGUUAAGUCGAAAAUUCUCAUUGGAAUCCAGAUACUCCGUCAUCGCUUAUACUGGAACAGGCGCGCUCUUGGCAAAAUCGGUCGAGAUCUUUGAAUAGUUCAUCUUGUUCGAACUCAGUGUUCGAUCGAUCUUCGGUUGCGCAAAAAACGGCAUCAAUGCACUUUUUUAAUCGUACUGACUCAGCUAAGAAAAACGAAUCCUCGCCGGAGAUGUUCUUAUUACCAACAUCACUUUCUAAAGAGCUCACUGGGACAGGUCGUUUACUGGAUAUUGAUAAUGAGCACUACCUGAAUACGUCAGCAGAUAUAACAUUCAAUAAUAUAGUUUCAUCAACACCAAAAUCAGUUCCUCUAUCGAGAAAAAAAGAAUUAUCAGAAUCAACCACUCUAUCUGCUUUUUCAUUGAAUUCCCCGUCUACUUUGGAGCCGAUUAAUUUGGUCCUACUUAGACCUCGAUUUUGGAAUCAGCAACUGAACCCCACACGAAUCCGCUAGGACCUGAGAACCCGAGGCCUUUCGCGAUAUCUUGGCUUGAACAACAGCGAACAACAACAACGAACCAUAACCAGCAACUGAACCCCGCACAAUACUUCCAGGCCCCGAGGAUUACAUGCCCCUGUCCCAGCUCAUGACAUCGUGGCUUAGCAGAACAAAUCCAUACAUGCUGCAUAUCCAUGGCCAUUCGACGAUCAUCAGACGACCAUUCAACUACAAAACAUUGAUUGAAAAAUAUAUGCUAGUUUUAAGAUAGACUUAAUUUCAGCUCGUAGUCGGCAGCGAGGAUAAAAAAUUUGCUUAAAGAAUUUAAGUCAUCAGAUAUAAUUGGCGCCGUUAAACAUUAAAUUGUAUUUGUGCCGUGUCAAAUAAACGAUAGGUGAAGAAAUAAAAAAUUUUGGUCCUACCGAAACUACCACUAAUAUAAGAUUUUGGAAGUGCAAAGCAACUGACAGAGAGUGUUACUUUUAACUUUGAUGAACAUGC
Molecule: long non-coding RNA, 2093 nt
Organism: Wyeomyia smithii (pitcher-plant mosquito)
Lineage: Eukaryota; Metazoa; Arthropoda; Insecta; Diptera; Culicidae
Exons: 3
Source: RefSeq, a predicted model, not a curated record